AGAGUUUGAUCCUGGCUCAGAUUGAACGCUGGCGGCAGGCCUAACACAUGCAAGUCGAACGGUAACAGGAAGCAGCUUGCUGCUUUGCUGACGAGUGGCGGACGGGUGAGUAAUGUCUGGGAAACUGCCCGAUGGAGGGGGAUAACUACUGGAAACGGUAGCUAAUACCGCAUAACGUCGCAAGACCAAAGAGGGGGACCUUCGGGCCUCUUGCCAUCGGAUGUGCCCAGAUGGGAUUAGCUAGUUGGUGAGGUAACGGCUCACCAAGGCGACGAUCCCUAGCUGGUCUGAGAGGAUGACCAGCCACACUGGAACUGAGACACGGUCCAGACUCCUACGGGAGGCAGCAGUGGGGAAUAUUGCACAAUGGGCGCAAGCCUGAUGCAGCCAUGCCGCGUGUAUGAAGAAGGCCUUCGGGUUGUAAAGUACUUUCAGCGGGGAGGAAGGGGAUGUGGUUAAUAACCGCAUUCAUUGACGUUACCCGCAGAAGAAGCACCGGCUAACUCCGUGCCAGCAGCCGCGGUAAUA
RNAcentral lists this ribosomal RNA (528 nucleotides) under uncultured bacterium. Its description in RNAcentral is "bacterial SSU rRNA". It matches the Rfam family "Bacterial small subunit ribosomal RNA", at positions 8 to 525 of the family's 1533-position model. The record is from RNAcentral.